AACGAACGCUGGCGGCGCGCCUAAUACAUGCAAGUCGAGCGAGAAGACGUAGCAAUACGUUUGUAAAGCGGCGAACGGGUGAGGAAUACAUGGGUAACCUACCCUCGAGUGGGGAAUAACUAGCCGAAAGGUUAGCUAAUACCGCGUACGCUCCUUGGACUUCGGUUCAGGGAGGAAAGCGAUACCGUGGGUAUCGCGCUCUUGGAUGGGCUCAUGUCCUAUCAGCUUGUUGGUGAGGUAACGGCUCACCAAGGCUUCGACGGGUAGCUGGUCUGAGAGGACGAUCAGCCACACUGGCACUGCGACACGGGCCAGACUCCUACGGGAGGCAGCAGUAAGGAAUAUUGCGCAAUGGGCGAAAGCCUGACGCAGCGACGCCGCGGUGGGGGA
RNAcentral lists this ribosomal RNA (390 nucleotides) under uncultured bacterium. Its description in RNAcentral is "bacterial SSU rRNA". It matches the Rfam family "Bacterial small subunit ribosomal RNA", at positions 29 to 408 of the family's 1533-position model. The record is from RNAcentral.